This 1246-nucleotide long non-coding RNA is filed under the name Mytilus galloprovincialis (Mediterranean mussel). The record is from RNAcentral. Lineage: Eukaryota; Metazoa; Mollusca; Bivalvia; Mytilida; Mytilidae.
GUACAAAAAUCAUUCCAAACAAUCAAUUCGUGUUGCCCCAGGUGACUUUAUAAAAUGUAGAUAUCAUCAAAAAGCUCCAAAUUAUCUCCCUUAGGUGCAAAAAUGCCAUUUUUUGCAUUAAAAUUGAAAUAUCUUUUUUAACUCAUUGGUGACCUAUAUUUUUUAUUGUUUUUCGAAUAAGCUGUACAUAAACUAAAUAAUUGUAAAAUUUAAGCAAUGUCUGUAAUUUAGUUCUUUUUCUAUUUCGAUAUUACCGCUAUUUCUCCUAUUAGCUCAACAGAAAAAAAGGACAUUAACAAAAAUGUAUGCUUCUUUCGAAGGCAGAUUGUGAGCGUAAGUGAAUGGUGACCCCAUUUUUUUAUUUCAUUUUUCUAUUAAGUAUAAGAUAAAGUUCAUUUAUAGAAAAAUAUAGCGAAAUCCUAUAUUAAAUAAAAAUUUGAUUUAGACCCGCGAGCCCCCUUAAUAUCAAUAAUUUGAAAAAAAAAAACUUUUAGUGAAUAGAGAUAACAGAGUACUUUUUUCCAUCUUAUGCUACUUCACUGGUUUCCUGAAUCAAUAAAAUCUGGGCACCAUAAUACAGCCAAUAGUGCUGAAUGUGGACACAAACAAUCCAUCAAAGUCUCAAUAAGAUCAGAUUCAAAGUCAAUAGUACUGAAUGUGACACAAAACAACCAUCAAAGUCAAUAGUCUGAAUGUGGACACAAAACAAUCAUCAAAGUCUCAAUAAGAUCAGAUUCAAAGUCAAUAGUACUGAAUGUGGACACAAACAAUCCAUCAAAGUCUCAAUAAGAUCAGAUUCAAAGUCAAUAGUGCUGAAUGUGGACACAAACAAUCCAUCAAAGUCUCAAUAAGAUCAGAUUCAAAGUCAAUAGUACUGAAUGUGGACACAAAAAAUCCAUCAAAGUCUCAAUAAGAUCAGAUUCAAAGUCAAUAGUACUGAAUGUGGACACAAACAAUCCAUCAAAGUCUCAAUAAAUCAAUUCAAAGUCAAUAGUACUGAAUGUGGACACAAACAAUCCAUCAAAGUCUCAAUAAGAUCAGAUUCAAAGUCAAUAGUGCUGAAUGUGGACACAAACAAUCCAUCAAAGUCUCAAUAAGAUCAGAUUCAAAGUCAUAGUACUUGACACAAUCCAUCAAAGUUAAAGAAAACAUGUUUUGGUGGUUUUAGAUCUUUAGAUACCACCAUACUCUGUAAACCAUUAAUGUCCUAAUCCUUAUUGUGACAUUUUUACUGAGUGUGGUUUUG